AUACGUAGGGGGCAAGCGUUAUCCGGAUUUACUGGGUGUAAAGGGAGCGUAGACGGAAGGCCAAGUCUGAUGUGAAAGCCCGCGGCUCAACUGCGGGACUGCAUUGGAAACUGGUCAUCUGGAGUGCAGGAGGGGUAAGCGGAAUUCCUAGUGUAGCGGUGAAAUGCGUAGAGAUCGGGAGGAACACCAGUGGCGAAGGCGGGUAACUGGACUGCAACUGACGCUGAGGCGCGAAAGUGUGGGGAGCAAACAGGAUUAGAUACCCUGGUAGUCCACACUGUAAACGAUGAAUGCUAGGUGUAAGAGGUAUCGACCCCUUUUGUGCCGGAGUCAACACAAUAAGCAUUCCGCCUGGGGAGUACGGCCGCAAGGUUGAAACUCAAAGGAAUUGACGGGG
This 397-nucleotide ribosomal RNA is filed under the name uncultured bacterium. Its description in RNAcentral is "partial 16S ribosomal RNA". It matches the Rfam family "Bacterial small subunit ribosomal RNA", at positions 523 to 918 of the family's 1533-position model. The record is from RNAcentral.